AUGAGCUGAACUUUUUAUUAUCUACGUGUGUGCCUGGAAAAGCCGCAGGGUCCGUCCUAUUUCAGCCCAAGGCAGGAGCGACCAUUUGACAACACAGACCAAGGAGCAGUGAACGGAAAGCGCCUCUGCCCGCCCUGUCGGUCCGGCUCGGGUAAAGCAGCCACGCCAACGCCCAGAGCAGCGAGGAAGAGGAGCCUGCCACAAACGUGGUCCCAGGGCUGCGCCUGCUGCUGGGAGGGGGCAGAAGGAGACUUGCAGGCAAGGGUCCAGGAGAGGCAGCGUGGACAGGUAUGGAAAUGGAGGCCCUGCCACAGAGGACAGAGAGGAAACGAGAGAGCCAGCAACUGCAUGCCCGUCAGCUGAGACAUGGCUGUGUGUAGCUGAAAACGUGUACUGACACCUGAGCCAUACGCAUGUCCCCAUUUCUUGCCACCCCAUUUGCACGAGGUGUUCCGGAUACCCCAUGGACUCAGAAUUCCAGCGGACCUGCAAUGCAUGGGAGUCCCGGAGACUCGACGCAGGGACAAGGCAAAAGCAUGCUGCAGCCACGACUCGGCAAGUGGGGGCACUGGCAGCCCCGGAACUCGAAACAUGACUUUCCUCUUGCAGUGGGACUGGCUUGGAACACAGAAAGAAGGUGGUGACUUUCUAAGAAACACGAACAACCGGGAAACCCUGCCAUGUCCUUCCUUGCUUGUGUUGUUGCUUCAACUACGCAUGCUGAAAAGGAUGCACAGAAGGAAAGGAAAAGCAGGACAAACACGGUUAGUUUUCCUUUCGGUGCUCCCCACCCACCAGGAGGCCAAGGCAGAGGGUGUGGGCAGACUGUGGGCACCAGGGAGGGACUCAGAACUGCCGAGCGCAGCCUCCCGCGUUCCGGCUCGAGCGGAGCACGUCGCUGGAGGUGGGAGUGUCAUUUCAGUGGCUCCUCACGCAUGUCGGAUGCCUUUAUAUUUGCAUUUAAAACUGCCACCGGCGCAUUAUAAAGAUGAACAGAAGA
Microcebus murinus (gray mouse lemur) is the source of this 1000-nucleotide non-coding RNA. The record is from RefSeq and is a predicted model, not a curated record. Lineage: Eukaryota; Metazoa; Chordata; Mammalia; Primates; Cheirogaleidae.